Molecule: unclassified non-coding RNA, 528 nt
Filed under: Hevea brasiliensis (rubber tree)
Lineage: Eukaryota; Viridiplantae; Streptophyta; Magnoliopsida; Malpighiales; Euphorbiaceae
Source: RNAcentral
AAAAAAAAAAAAAAAGAAGAAAGGGAUUGAAGAAGAAGAAGAAAAUAAAGAGAAAAGGAAAGCUUAUGAUUUGGUUAACGGAGAAAAAGGAAAGGAAAACAUUCAAUCUGCGUUGUGUAAUUGAGAAAGCUGAGCCAACCGUUUUCAAAUUUGAAUUUUGUUAACCCUUCUCCCUCCGUCCUGUCAUGGAGCGGACUCUAUUUAUACCUCUCCCCGCUUUGUCCAUAAAUCAUUACAUCACCAUCCUUUGCAGCGUGACAGAUGCGUGUGGCCAAAGGGCAUAUCGCUUGCUCUUCAAAAUUUAUGAUAAGAGAAUCUUCACUCGUUAAUAUUCAGAUUUUUAUUUUUUUAUUUGAUAUGAUUAUUUGUUUUAAUUAUUUUUUUUUAAAUAUUAAUUUUAUUACCUCAAUUUUCAUUACUAAUAUAUUUAUUAAUACUAAUAUAGAAGUUAUAUAAAUUUUUUUUUAAUUAUUAUGAAUUUCAGCUUUGUACAGUUGGUGCAGAAACCAACUUUUUAAAAAAAAAAAA